GACGAACGCUGGCGGCGUGCUUAACACAUGCAAGUCGAACGAGUGGCGAACGGGUGAGUAACACGUGGGUGAACUGCCCUGCACUUCGGGAUAAGCCUGGGGAACUGGGUCUAAUGCCGGAUAGUGUGGGAUGGGCCCGGGGCCUAUCAGCUUGUUGGUGGGGUAAUGGCUACCAGGGCGCGACGGGUAGCCGGCCUGAGAGGGUGGACGGCCACAUUGGGACUGAGACACGGCCCAGACUCCGACGGGAGGCAGCAGUGGGGAAUAUUGCACAAUGGGCGGAAGCCGGAUGCAGCGACGCCGCGUGGGGGAUGACGGCCUUCGGGUUGUAAAUUACUUUCAGCGGGGAGGCGUUACCCGCAGAAGAAGCACCGGCUAACUCCGUGCCAGCAGCCGCGGUAAUAC
Molecule: ribosomal RNA, 405 nt
Filed under: uncultured bacterium
Lineage: Bacteria
Description: partial 16S ribosomal RNA
Rfam family: Bacterial small subunit ribosomal RNA
Source: RNAcentral